RNAcentral lists this long non-coding RNA (640 nucleotides) under Mytilus galloprovincialis (Mediterranean mussel). The record is from RNAcentral. Lineage: Eukaryota; Metazoa; Mollusca; Bivalvia; Mytilida; Mytilidae.
UGUUGCAGAAGACUUAUACUGUAAAAACAAUACAAUUAGACUUAUAAGUAGUGCGAAUUUUCUUACAAAGCAGAAUUCAUCUCAAUAAUAAAGCAAAAUUAUAUCGACUCGAUAAAUAUGAUUGCUUUUAAUAAAUUUUAUUCUAUUUAAAAAAAAAUCACAUAUAAUUUAGUGAAACAUACUUGAACCAAAGACCCUGACAUUUUAUUGGUCGUACAAAAUGUGUGCGACAUAACAUCGAACGCUAGAUAACCAAUUUGCAGACCAAGAUCAUCUUUUAGCCGAUUUGUUCCUUAUGAUUUGUAGCAUGACUUAGUUAUAAAUUAUUUUGUAACCUCAACCUCUAAUGCUCAAAACUGUUCUGGACUUGAAUUGUUCGUUACUUUGUUUUUUUUUUUCUUUUUUUUUUAAUUCCUUUGUUCGCAAUAAAUCUUAAUCUAAAUAAUCUUAUCCACCUGCCUGCGAAUCCGUGUUGUUUAGAAAACGUCAAAACAACUAAAAGUCCUGCUAAACCAUCGCACUUCAGCGAAAGGACCAUCGCACUUCGGCGUAGACCAUCGCACUUCAGCGUGACCAUCGCACUUCAGCGUGACCAUCGCACUUCAGCGUCCCCAUCGCACCUCCGAGUCCUACAUAUAUA